Molecule: long non-coding RNA, 3054 nt
Filed under: Pelobates cultripes (western spadefoot toad)
Lineage: Eukaryota; Metazoa; Chordata; Amphibia; Anura; Pelobatidae
Source: RNAcentral
CACAUUUUGUCUGCUGGGAUUAUAACUUAAUACAGAACCGCUACAUAUGUUUGUAGAAAGUAGACCCCUCUCCCCAAGGUUAUUUAACUAGGAGAACUUUGCAAUUAACCAUUUUAUUACCAACCUCUGCCAAAUCUGAUAGUUCUAUGUAAUGUUUUUGACAUAUUUCAGCUAGCAAUUUCAGAAAGUGUGUAGUCCACAACGGCAAAAACCCUAUAUUUGUAAAGAAUUUAAUUACAGACAAAUAGUGGCCACAAACUAUUUACCCCCAUUAAUCCAAACAUGACAUUAGACAAAGUAGUGUCUAGUUUGUCUCACAAUAAAUCUAAGGUUGACGAAAGUCGGAGCUAGGUCUUCAACUUUUGUCCAAGGCCAGCCGCCGUCACUUGGGAUACAGACAUUAAUCUAUGCGGGAUCCUCCAAUGUAAUACAGCAUUAACGUGCCGGCUGGAGCUGAAGAGGAUGCACAGGGCAAAAAUGGUGGCAGCAAUGAGGGACAUCUUCAGGUAAGUGAACUACCCACAAAUGUCUCCUUUAUUCACAACACAACUAAUAAAACAGCACGAUGAAAUGCGCUUUAUUAUAAAUCCAUAAAACCUUCCCAUUCACCCUCCAGCUCCCAGACCAUCACCAGAGAGGGUACUUUUGGGGGUCUUUGCAAAACUCCCUGAAAAUGACAGAUAAGCAUUAAGGAAACAGAAGUACGGUACAUAAAUCCAUUUAUAAUGAGUGCUCCUGGUGCCUUUUUUCAGAUUCUGACCACUUCACAUUUCAUCAAGCAAUAUCCUGGUCUCACUGUGGCUGAGAUUAUCAGGAUGGAUGAAGCAUUGAGAGCCCUACUGUACAUGCUUGGCAAUUGGCACAGUGCAUCAUAAGAUUCUCAGGGAAGCUUUAUAUCACAUCUUCAAGCCAAACGUGAAGACUCGACAUUUUGUUUUCAUUAGGAGACCCUCCAGCGGCUCUCUGAAUGCGAGAAAUUGCAAUGUUACGUUUGUCAGUCAGUGUGCAUCUAGUGGCUGUUAAACAGCAGGGACAGCAUCUGGGCACUGUGUGUCACUUAUCGGAGUCCUUGCAGUCUGGCCUCUCCAGUGGGCUGUAAUAGUUUUGGUGCUUAGAGUGCCUCUUUAAACACACACCUAGCUGAAGAGAAAAUGACAAGGUUUGUAAAUGCCAGAUUCACUGAAAGAUCUUGGGAGUGCACAUGCUUGUUACAUUACUCACUCGUCCCUGUACAAACUAGCAAUUUUAAGACAUUUUGUCUGUCAAUGCGAAGGAAUACCCUCGGGCCCGUAUCAGUAUUAACCCCAGUAGAAGCAAGCAAACACACACAUUUAAACAACCCAAACUGGAGCCAAUAGUAUGGCAUGGGUCAAUGAACAGGAAACAGCAGAAAGCAACUGAUCCCAUUCGAAUUAAUAUUUUAUUAUUUAUAUAGCGCCAGCAAAUUCCAUAGCGCUUUACAAUGGGAUGUAAUACUUUGUAACAAACCCCCACACACAUUAUUUUCUAUUUCUUAUUUAAUGGUUUACUUACGGCUGAGUGCAAUGUAUAUUACAACUAACAGGUUUGUCGGUAAACAAAGUGUUUAUAUUGUCAUAAAGGAGCGAUUAGGGCGUUGUGUAUAAACAUUGACAAAGUUGCUCUUUUCAGUUUUUUGGGGCUUUUCCUAUUUGAACGUAUUUAUUCUCUCAUUUCCUUACUGCACCUUUCUGCCACUGUUUCCUGUACCAAUUCGGUCCUUUUAUGUUCACAAAGAUGUCGCAGUGAAAAAGGACCAGAAAGGUUUCUGCCAAUGUCAAUAGGGUGAAUUUUCUGAAGUAGGUUGGGAGCUUUAACCGUCUUAGGCCUGGCACACUGUGAAUAACAAGGGUUAUUUUUCAUACAGUUCAGAUCUGUCAUGUAAGAGGACGUUCACUUAAUUUACAACUUUGCAAAAGUUGCAAACCCAUCUCUAAACCCAACACUGUGAGCUUCAAACCUGGAGCCUCCAGAAAUCAAUUCAGAAUAAACCUCAAUGCCACCAAAGCCAUUCGUGCUCUUAAAGCAGCUCAGUCCCGGACGCCUAGUCUGAUCAAAGUGACAGACGCUUUAACCCUUCGAGGGUGUGGUGGCGGUGGUGUAUGUAUGUGUAUAUAUAGUUCCAAAAUGUGCUUCUAAUUGCUGAAAUUCAGAAAAUACAGGAUUACUCUGGUUCUAAUUUGUUUUGUAACAGAUCACAGAAUUGUGAUGACAAUUGAAAACAUUAUUAUUUGAUCCCCGAGUGCAUUAAAGUGAUGGGAGUUGAGUUAGCCAUUUUGACAAUGACUCAUGAGCAUCUCGACGGCACAGGGGUGUUUAACCACAUCCACCCUGUAAGCACCUGCCCCUGGUGGCUUCUUUCUGCCUGAACUACUGGUCCUGCUUUUAGGGAGGAGGUCUAAUGACUACCCCCGUAGUGACACAGGAGAAGAAAAAAGGAAAGCUGUCCUAACAGAUGUUUAAAGCUCCCAAAUAGAAAAUCAAACAAAAACUAUUGUUUGUUUUGAAUAAAAUGGUUUUUUUUCAGGACACAGAGCACACUUGCAUAGGAAAAGCUUACUGGAUUUACUUUUCCCAACCAAUUUUCUGGUUCUGAUUAAACUGGGAUCGCUGAGCUCCUCCAAGGUGAGAUCAUUCGUGUUACGUUACUGAUAAUUAUCUCAAUACCCUUAUUUCACAUAUCCACAAAUUAUCUUCCAUGCAAACACCUUGUGAGCAGGCCAGAAAAUCCCAUUACAGCUUUACUCUGGCCUUUCUAGGCAUUUUUUUCAGAUUCUUUAACAAUGUCAGCUCUUUGUUUAAAAAAAAAAAAAAAAAAUGCUUAGAGGGAAUAUUACCUUAUGGUAAUAUCUCAUCAACCGCACCAACAGUUACAAACAUGUCCAUAAUAUCUGCCACUGGUAAUUACUCUAUUUAACAAGCAACUUACUUGAUUAGGUUUCAUUCUCUAUGCAGUGAAAUUAAAGUUAAAGCAAAGUGGUUUUCCUGACAUUAUAGUGCCCUAAGGGUGCCCCCACCCUCAGCGUCCCCCCUCAC